Molecule: transfer RNA, 93 nt
Filed under: bacterium
Lineage: Bacteria
Description: tRNA-Ser
Rfam family: tRNA
About the family: Transfer RNA (tRNA) molecules are approximately 80 nucleotides in length. Their secondary structure includes four short double-helical elements and three loops (D, anti-codon, and T loops). Further hydrogen bonds mediate the characteristic L-shaped molecular structure. tRNAs have two regions of fundamental functional importance: the anti-codon, which is responsible for specific mRNA codon recognition, and the 3' end, to which the tRNAs corresponding amino acid is attached (by aminoacyl-tRNA synthetases). tRNAs cope with the degeneracy of the genetic code in two manners: having more than one tRNA (with a specific anti-codon) for a particular amino acid; and 'wobble' base-pairing, i.e. permitting non-standard base-pairing at the 3rd anti-codon position.
Source: RNAcentral
GGCGGGAUGCCGGAGCGGCUGAACGGGCCUGUCUCGAAAACAGGUAUCCGAGUUCAACUCGGAUCGUGGGUUCAAAUCCCACUCCCGCCGCCC